UCUGGGUCAGCCUGGGUCCCUGGUGUUGCCCUUUCCAGAGAAGCCUUGGCCAGUGCUCCACCAGAGCCUGGGGAGAGAACAUACCUGUGAGGAAGCCCUGGGGACUGUUUACACCUAUCCCUGGCAGAGAUUCUUCUGUGGACCAGGGCAGUCCAGGAGGUUGGGCCCUUACCCACUGACGGGGGCUAUGCCUGCGGCAGUCAAGUCCCCCGCAGGGUGGCACCCAGCAAGUUCUCUGCUGCAGAGAGCCCCCAGGCUGAGAAGACAACAGGCAGAGGCGAGAGCAAGAGCGGAACCUCCAGGGUGUCUUCUCUCAGUGGGUGAAGCGGCCAGCCCCUCACUCUCCACCAGUGUCCUGAGAGCCCUGUAAUGAUGGCCACAUGGUCAUUCUGCCAGCACGAACCUCUCCGUCCCUGACUGGAACCGUUCACCUGCCUCUGCCAGAGCCCCUCCAGCCCUCUGCCCCCAGGCCUGCCCUGCCUGUCCAGCCUCAUGAGCCAUCACUGUGGGCUUGCAAAAGUGGCAAGUUGUAAGUCGUCCCAAGCCUUACAUCUUCCCUGGCUCCCUAUUGACCCCAGAGAAAGUUCUAGCUCCUCAGCCAGCUGCCAAGGCCCCUGGCUUCCAUGCUCCAUGGGUCCCAGUCUCCCCGUGUGAGACAUGCGUGGCCCCUGGGAAGUCCGGGCUGUUCAGCAGUACCUCCUCAGCCCUGGGCUUGGAAAAUCCUUCCCAAAAGAUUUGACCAACUGCCCCCACCCCAUGAAGUGUGCUGCUGAUUCCCCUUCUCUGGCCUAGAGGAUGGACUGCUCCCUCCUGGCUGCCCUGAUUGCUGCUGUGACCCCAUGUGGCAUAUUGUCUGUUAUGUUCAAGGGCACUGAUUUGGAUCUUAGCCUGUCUUCUCUGCUAAAAUCAGAAAUCAACAUUGUUUGCUUCUCUCUGCAAUCCCG
This 944-nucleotide long non-coding RNA is filed under the name Vulpes vulpes (red fox). RNAcentral's name for it is "lncRNA (ENSVVUG00000024828.1)". Lineage: Eukaryota; Metazoa; Chordata; Mammalia; Carnivora; Canidae. The record is from RNAcentral.